AUGAAUUGGACCUCCAUGCUCCUUUCCUCUGGUACUUCUUCAGUGUUGCUUAAUGGGGUGCCAGGAAAAUUCUUUCAUUGCAAUCAAGGGGUUAGACAAGGUGAUCUUGUCUCUCCUUUGUUAUUUGUGUUGGCUGCUGACCUACUCCAAUCCACCCUCAAUGAAGCUAUGCAAAAUCAGCUGAUUCUUCCUCCUAUUGUUAGUCAAGCUUGCCCUGACUUCCCAGUGAUUCAGUUUGCUGAUGAUACCAUCUUAGUCCUGCCAGCUGAUAUGAGACAAAUUGAGCAAGUCAAAAAUCUCCUUCAUUACUCUGCUUUCACAGGUCUGAGAGUGAAUUAUGAGAAAUCCUUCUUGGUGCCACUAAAUGUACCAAUCACACAACUUCACUCUUUGCUUAAUGUUUUGGGCUGCCAGCAAGGUCAUUUUCCUUUCACCUAUUUAGGUCUCCCUCUUGGCACAACAAAACCAAAAAUUGAAGAUUUUAACCCAAUGAUGCAAAGAAUUGAAAGAAGGCUUUUUGGCUGCUCCACUAUGUUAUCUUAUGAUGGCAGGCUUUUGCUUAUAAAAUCAGUUUUUGCAUCUCUGCCAAUAUUCUUCAUGAGCUCUCUAGCUCUCCGAGUUGGUGUGUUACAGCAAAUCAACAAGUACUUGAGAAAUUUCCUUUGGAGGAAAUUUGGUAUGGAGGAUAGAGGAACUGCACUUAUUGCUUGGUCCAAGGUUUGUAGGCCAAAAAGCAAGGAGGACUUGGAAUAG
This 753-nucleotide ribosomal RNA is filed under the name Triticum aestivum (bread wheat). RNAcentral's name for it is "partial small subunit ribosomal RNA". Lineage: Eukaryota; Viridiplantae; Streptophyta; Magnoliopsida; Poales; Poaceae. The record is from RNAcentral.